AACCCUUUUUUUAUUUAUAAAUAUGCACAGCUUAAUAAAAGAGUGCGGGAAAUAAAAGAGUAUUUCUUUUUCCCAAAAAAAAGCACCACCAUAAGACGGCGCGGGAAAUAAAAGAGCAAAUCGCGGCCGCACCAUUUUCCCAAUCUCAGCUGUUCCUUCCGUCGCCGCCUCAUCACCGGCGGCUUAUCUCCGUUUAUCCACCGUUUCCCGAACAAGAUUGACACCCUCCGCUGCCUCCAGCAUAGGAGGCUGAAAAGUUUGUACUGAUUUGCUGUGUGGUAUAUACUUGAAGUGAAGACCAAGAGAAAUCCCAAGGUGAUAGAAAGUUUGUGUGUGGAAGAAGUUAGGGAAACUUAUUAUGGUUUCCAAUCGCGUGUUAGCGUGUAGCUUACUGGUUUAUUUAGUAGUGGCAGUGUUGUUUGAUGUUACUGGUUGGAGGAGUUUAUUUCUGCAACUCAUUGUAUUGUGCUACGUGUGUUUUGGGCUCAAUCCUAAUAACCGCAUUAAGUUGAAAGUUGGAUUCUCUUUUGGAAUGAGGAAGGACACAGAUGGAGGAGGAGAUAGAGAUGAUGACCAUGGUAGAGCAGCUGGUACACCUGAGCAGGCUGAUUGAUUUCGUGAUCACUGUGCUAUUGAUGUUUUGAUUCUUUUUGGGAUGGGGAUUUAUCUUGGAUUAGGCUUGGGGAUUGUUUUGAUUGUUAUGAUGUAUAGUCUAAGGAGAAGCACUUUUGGGUGCUACUAAACUCUCCUUUAAACACAGAUGUUAAAAUUGUUUUGAUGAAUGCUUACAAACUUUCACUGAGUUUGGAAAUUUCUUGA
Lathyrus oleraceus (garden pea) is the source of this 819-nucleotide long non-coding RNA. RefSeq lists it as uncharacterized. The transcript is spliced from 2 exons. The record is from RefSeq and is a predicted model, not a curated record. NCBI's taxonomy places the organism in Eukaryota, Viridiplantae, Streptophyta, Magnoliopsida, Fabales, Fabaceae.